AGGUGAGUACCUUAACUGGCCAAAGGACCGGGUUGUGGCCCCGGGCAUUCGGGUUCGAUUCCCGACCACCUG
Molecule: non-coding RNA, 72 nt
Organism: Parcubacteria group bacterium
Lineage: Bacteria
Source: Rfam